Bombyx mori (domestic silkworm) is the source of this 84-nucleotide non-coding RNA. NCBI's taxonomy places the organism in Eukaryota, Metazoa, Arthropoda, Insecta, Lepidoptera, Bombycidae. The record is from Rfam.
UUAACUUAAAUUUGUAUAGAGUUGGAACUUUUGCCUACGUUUGUCACUAGGGGCGCUGUUCAACCUGCAUACAAAUUCGAAUUA